Long non-coding RNA from Rhinopithecus roxellana (golden snub-nosed monkey), 767 nucleotides. RefSeq lists it as uncharacterized. The record is from RefSeq and is a predicted model, not a curated record. The transcript has 3 exons. Lineage: Eukaryota; Metazoa; Chordata; Mammalia; Primates; Cercopithecidae.
GGUCCCCUUCCACACUGUGGAAGCUUUGUUCUUUUGCUCUUUAAGAUAAAUCUUUGCUGCUGCUUACUCUUUGGGUCCAUGCUGUUCUUCAUGAGCUGUAACACUCAUGGCGAGGGUCUGCAGCUUCACUCUUGAAGCCAGCAAGGCCACAAACCCAUGGGGAGGAACGAACAAUUCCAGACGCGUGCUGCCUUUAAGAGCUGUAACACUCACUGCGACAGUCCGUAGCUUCAUUCUUGAAGUCAGCAAGACCAAGAACCCACCAAUUUUGGACACAUUUUGGCAACCACAAAGGGCCUAUCGUCUAUUGCCAAGCAGUGAGACUAUCGUCAAGUGAUGAGACCAUAGCCUAUCACCAAGCAGCCGCAAAAUGCAUGGCACAGGGAAGGGUUUGACAACUUUUUGAUGGAUGAACAAAGAAGAUUCAAGCCACUUGUCAACAAGCCCAAAGUGAUUGAAAGUGGAAGCGUUUACCCACACGCUCACGCAGAAAAUGACAGGAAAUCAUCCAGAGACACUUGUGACAGAGAUGAGAACUGUCACUGUUGAGAGGUGCUGCGGAGAUGGGUGUCCACUGGUGACUGUUGGGAGGCCAACUGCGGGGAUGUGGCGCCAUUAGCUCAAGAGUGGGCAACUCCCUACCACGCUGGCGGCGCCGGCCAGGACAGGACAAGCCUACUGCAGUGACACGGCGCCCUGAUCCCUGACCCCACGUAAGCUUGGCCAGGAGCUGUGGCUCAUGUCAAUAAUCGCAGCAGUUUGGGAAG